UGGGGAAUUUUGGACAAUGGGGGAAACCCUGAUCCAGCCAUCCCGCGUGUGCGAUGAAGGCCUUCGGGUUGUAAAGCACUUUUGGCAGGAAAGAAACGUCAUGGGUUAAUACCCCGUGAAACUGACGGUACCUGCAGAAUAAGCACCGGCUAACUACGUGCCAGCAGCCGCGGUAAUACGUAGGGGGCAAGAUUUAAUCGGAAUUACUGGGCGUAAAGCGUGCGCAGGCGGUUCGGAAAGAAAGAUGUGAAAUCCCAGAGCUCACCUUUGGAACUGCAUUUUUAACUACCGGGCUAGAGUGUGUCAGAGGGAGGUGGAAUUCCGCGUGUAGCAGUGAAAUGCGUAGAUAUGCGGAGGAACACCGAUGGCUAAGGCAGCCUCCUGGGAUAACACUGACGCUCAUGAACGAAAGCGUGGGGAGCAAACAGG
Molecule: ribosomal RNA, 429 nt
Filed under: Acidobacteriota bacterium
Lineage: Bacteria; Pseudomonadati; Acidobacteriota
Description: Acidobacteria bacterium partial 16S ribosomal RNA
Rfam family: Bacterial small subunit ribosomal RNA
Source: RNAcentral